This 87-nucleotide transfer RNA is filed under the name Dehalogenimonas formicexedens. It matches the Rfam family "tRNA". From Rfam's summary of the family: Transfer RNA (tRNA) molecules are approximately 80 nucleotides in length. Their secondary structure includes four short double-helical elements and three loops (D, anti-codon, and T loops). The record is from Rfam by way of RNAcentral. Lineage: Bacteria; Bacillati; Chloroflexota; Dehalococcoidia; Dehalococcoidales; Dehalococcoidaceae.
GGAGAGGUGCUGGAGUGGUCUAUCAGGCACGCCUGGAGAGCGUGAGUCGGGGUAACCCGACCGUGGGUUCGAAUCCCACCCUCUCCG